CUUUUUCAGAAAUUGGGUUCUCGCUCAACUCUCUUGGCUCUGUCUCUCUCUUUAGCCUAGCUCUCUCUCUCUCUCCGACAUAGUCAUCUUCCUCCCUCAGCCAUCCAAGCUUAACUCCACAGGUCACAUCCACGAGGUACUGUUCACUUUCCUUUUCUUAGAAAUUUGGGGUUUUUGUGAAUUUGGUUUAUGAUGCAUGGAUUUGUUUGAAAUUGGUUUAGGGGUUUCUUCCAAAUUGGUUUGAUAGGAAGGUGAUGUUGUUGUUGCUGUCGCUGACAGACUAUUUUUCCUGGGUUGUGGUUGGUGGGUGUUACUGCGAAUGCUUACAAGGUUGCUGAUUCUCCUUCUAAGGUCUCUCUUUCUCUCUAUUUCUUCAAAUUCUAAGGUUUUUUUUUUUUUUUUUUGGGUUACUUUUUUUUGAUUUCUUUUGCUAAUUGUAAUUGGGCCUUUGUUGCAGAGGGGGAUUUGUUUUGUGCCCAAAAGAUUGUGACUUUGUUGAAAGUUCGUAAAUGGAAAAGGCAGCUGCCCCCUGCGGCUUGGAACGCUCAAUUCGGAGGUAUUAUGCCUUGAAUUUUUACAAAAGAAGAAUUGGAACUACCCUAUAGAAGGCAAAACAAAAAUAUAUAAGAGGAAAAAAGGAGAAAAUUUAUCUAAUUUCCCUUUUUUUUAGUUGUAUUUUUUUUUUCUCGGUCCUUUUUUUGGGGGGGGGUGGUGUUCAGGAUGCAGGGUCGAUCUAGUUGGUUUACAUUGAUGUAGUUCCAAUAUGUAAAGAUGGAGUUUAUAUAUAUAUGUACAUGAUAUAGAGUCAAUUUCAGACCUUGUUAAUGGUAUUAGCCUGUUAGGCUUGUGGGAGAUUCAUUUUGUUUUCUUUCAUUUUCUAUAAAUGAUUCUGAUUAUUUACAACGUUGGACAGACUUCCCUACAUCAUUUUUGUUGUUGGUGGGGGGGGAGGGGGGGAGGAGACACCCUGUUUCGUUACAGGGUUUAUUGACUGCAUUCUUCCUUGUUCUGGAAGACCUCCUCAGUUCCAUUGAGCCGACAAACCUUAUGAAGUUGAAUGUGAAGUGUUACCUUGCAUCUACAUGUUUCAUCUUUUAACUUUAUUUUCAUGUUUCACACUGAUGCUUGUAGUUAUUUCUAGUUUUGCAUACAGAUUAGCAAAUAGGUUAUGCAUUUACUGUUUAGUCAUCUAAUGAUUUGAUAUCUAAUAUUUAGGCAUGUGGGAAUUUAUAGAUGUACCGAUUAUGCAUACAUAUAGGUUUUGUGCUUGUAUUAGGAAGUUAGAUUCUUGUGGUUCCUCUUCAAUGGCAUGAAUUUAAAUUGUUGUGCUUCAUGAUUAGGGUCUGAAGAACAACCAUGUAGUAAGAAAGUUGGAGAAACGUCAACAGAUUUGCACCCUUGACCAACAUAUUGAAGAGUAAUUUGGUGGUGGUCGUCUAUUGGCUUGUAUCUCAUCACGACCUAGAUAGUGGCUGUGCUGAUGGGUAUGUGACUUUAUUUGCCUAUGUCUGUUUCUAGUCAGCCGAUAUGUCAUUGGCAUAUUAGUGUAGUUACCAUAUUGCAAGGGCUGAAAUCUGGAUGAUAACAGCUUCUUUUUAUUGUUGUUUUAAAGUGAGGUAUGUAUGGAUCUUAUGAAAUUUUUACAGAAAUAUAUUGGAGGGCAAAUAAUUUUAUUUUAGUUUUUUUAUUCCCAAAUGAUACCCAAAACAUGUAAGCUUCACACUAUGUUAAUUUCUGCAGGAUGGGAAAACAUUGGACAAUGAGUUGGAGGUUGUUAAGGGAAAGAAGCUAGACAGGGGCUACAUAUCCCCUUAUUUCAUCACCAACCAGAACAAUCAGAAAUGUG
Molecule: long non-coding RNA, 1846 nt
Filed under: Prunus dulcis (almond)
Lineage: Eukaryota; Viridiplantae; Streptophyta; Magnoliopsida; Rosales; Rosaceae
Description: sRNA ncRNA
Source: RNAcentral